Molecule: ribosomal RNA, 497 nt
Filed under: uncultured bacterium
Lineage: Bacteria
Description: partial 16S ribosomal RNA
Rfam family: Bacterial small subunit ribosomal RNA
Source: RNAcentral
GAUGAACGCUGGCGGCGUGCCUAAUACAUGCAAGUCGAGCGAACGGACGAGAAGCUUGCUUCUCUGAUGUUAGCGGCGGACGGGUGAGUAACACGUGGAUAACCUACCUAUAAGACUGGGAUAACUUCGGGAAACCGGAGCUAAUACCGGAUAAUAUUUUGAACCGCAUGGUUCAAAAGUGAAAGACGGUCUUGCUGUCACUUAUAGAUGGAUCCGCGCUGCAUUAGCUAGUUGGUAGGGUAACGGCUUACCAAGGCAACGAUGCAUAGCCGACCUGAGAGGGUGAUCGGCCACACUGGAACUGAGACACGGUCCAGACUCCUACGGGAGGCAGCAGUAGGGAAUCUUCCGCAAUGGGCGAAAGCCUGACGGAGCAACGCCGCGUGAGUGAUGAAGGUCUUCGGAGCGUAAAACUCUGUUAUUAGGGAAGAACAUAUGUGUAAGUAACUGUGCACAGCUUGACGGUACCUAAUCAGAAAGCCACGGCUAACUACGUG